RNAcentral lists this unclassified non-coding RNA (2076 nucleotides) under Acromyrmex echinatior (Panamanian leafcutter ant). RNAcentral's name for it is "uncharacterized LOC105154011, transcript variant X1". The record is from RNAcentral. Lineage: Eukaryota; Metazoa; Arthropoda; Insecta; Hymenoptera; Formicidae.
CUUCCAUUUGACUGUCACGAUUUACGUCGAUACGAUUAUUAUCGCGUCGCGCGAAUAAAUAAUACGGUGGCGAAAAGAUUAACAUACAAUAUUAUCGACUACGGCGAAUGAUGAUGUAUUCAUGACAAUUCAAUAGUUUAUGUCGCGAUUGUAUGUUUUACUGUUAUAAUUAAUUAUCUUUCUUUCGGUAUAUAGUCGAUGUAACCUUGAAGUAUAUUUUCGCUUACUGUCAAUGAACCGUGGCAAACGGCCUACUUUUUACCUGCACGAAACGAAUGAUCGUUUUGGCCGUGUUCCGAUAUACAUUGCCAAUAUUGAAUCUAUAGUAUACGUAACGUGAAUUAUAUUUUCAGUACUGGCAGUACAGUCUUUGUCCAUAGCCUUUCGCGAAUUUAUACUUUGUUCCGUAUCGAGCGAAUUUAUGGACUCCGAGAGAAAGGAAAAAGAUUCUCCGAUUGCUGUAAUUUUUUUCUACAGCUAAGUAGAACAGUUCCUUAAACACAUAUACUGUAUUUAAACGUCACUUCCGUCAAUUAUACAGUUCUCAACAAUUUCGUACGAUUCUGCGAUACUUUCACCAUUUGCGCCAGCGAUCGACGUCAUAGAUACCAAUAGAGAAAUUACAAAUUUAGACGUCAGAGCUCGGUUAACGUUUACGUAUGUGUUUUUUUCAUAUCUUGACAUUUUCCUAAGAAAGUUCUAAUAAUAUCCUUCAUACAAUUUUACUUGGGGUAUCAAAAAUAAUUUGAACUUAUGAAUGUCAACGGGGACGAUUGCGAGAGAUGCUGCAAUUUUAAUUCUUAGGUCGGUAUUCGUCCGUUCUUAUUACAAGAUCAUCUAAAGUAAAAUCUUGAGAUGCCAAUACGAUUCUGUGGCUCCGGUAUUUAUAACCGGAUCUUAUAUUUAAGACUAUCUUAAAACAAUAUUGAAACAAGGACCGACUGUAAAUACCGGCUUGUAAUGGGAUUAUGAAAUUUUAUUACUGUACUUAGGACGGUUAAUCUUAAAUAUAAGAACUGACUAUAUAUGAAUACUAGCCUUAAAUUUAUCGCGAAACGUGAUACAUGUCAAAAAUGAUAUCUAAGAUUUCACGCUCGGAUAUCUAAACUUAAAUCCCUUCUAUCUUCUUCCCAGCAAGUCCCAGACGCUCAUCUCUCAUGACCGUCGAAAAUGCGCAUCCGAAAAAUUUCGCUUACACGUCUACGAUAGUCGCGAUUCAGUCCUCGGUCAUUGUCAUCCGAGCGUCCGUCUGCACGCAACGGAUCUGUUUUCGUUCUCCGAAACGCGCGUCAGCAACAGCAGCAACAGCAGCAGCAGCCACAGCAGCGCAGCAGUCUCUCCUGGAUCCGGAUCUCUCUCGGCUCCGUGUUUCGCGAACGCAUUUGAAAUUUGAAUCCGGCGCGGGGUGUGUGUCUCACGUCGACCAAUCGACAAGGCUGUCACGGCGCUGCGGUCCAAUCGAUGAUUGCGCUGUCGGAGGCUCGACUUGUACACGGCGUGACGUAAUGCCGUUUAAAAGGCGAGCCGCGUGGGACGCGCGAAUCAGUCGCACGACGCACGUUGCACUGUGUGCAUUGCUGGAGCUGAGGCAUCGUCGGAUUCCCAUCGGCAAGAAAGAGAAAGAGAGAGAGAGAGAGAAAGAGGCUAGUGUGCAUUGUCGGCGUGUCCCUUCCCUUCCUUCCUCUUUCGCUCUUCCUCUUCUUCUUCUUCUUCUUCUGUCGUUUCUUCUCUGCUUCCCGGUUCCUCUUCCCUCAGUUCCAUCCUACGUAUGUCGGAGGUUUCAUCGUCCAGCAUCGGUGGCUACAAUUAGACCAGGCACGAGAUCCCGUUGCCAUUACGCUCUUGAGGGAUAAUUUUAUGCGCGACGAGCUGGCGCGCGAUCAGGAGCGGAGCGAUCACGCGGGCUGAAGGAAAACCUUUUAACUCAACGGUGCCUAUGUUACGACUGUCUCGUCUCGCUGGGAGAUUGGAAAGACACGCGAAGGUUGACUUGCGUGCUUCCCAGGAGAUGCGGCCUCGCUGUUGGAGCUGAGACCGUCCCGUCGGCUGCGAAAAUUCGUGGGCCCGCAUCCGAAA